RNAcentral lists this ribosomal RNA (289 nucleotides) under Stegodyphus mimosarum. RNAcentral's name for it is "eukaryotic large subunit ribosomal RNA". It matches the Rfam family "Eukaryotic large subunit ribosomal RNA", at positions 1892 to 2161 of the family's 3401-position model. Lineage: Eukaryota; Metazoa; Arthropoda; Arachnida; Araneae; Eresidae. The record is from Rfam by way of RNAcentral.
AGAACAAUGUAGGUAAGGGAAGUCGGCAAGUUCGAUCCGUAACUUCAGGACAAGGAUUGGCUGUGAGGACUGGGCCCGUCGGGCUGGGGUCCGAAGCGGGUGUGGCACUGCACAGGACUGGGCGAGACAGGCCGUGAAAGCGGCCCGGACAAGCGUCGGGGCCUUCCCGUGGAAUGCCUCAGCUGCGCGGCGUACCGGGCACAAAGCUCAGAGCGACCGUUUCGGCGGGCAACUAACAGCCAACUCAGAACUGGCACAGAUUAAGGGAAUUCCACUGAAUACACUCUUU